AGGAUUCGAUUCCUUCUC
Molecule: small nuclear RNA, 18 nt
Filed under: Arabidopsis thaliana (thale cress)
Lineage: Eukaryota; Viridiplantae; Streptophyta; Magnoliopsida; Brassicales; Brassicaceae
Description: snRNA_06485
Source: RNAcentral